ACGAUGCAAGCCCUCUCAUGAAUAGAUGUAAAAUGCAUCCAUUGAUCCGUUACAGGCUUAUCUCGGAGGCAGAAGAAGCAGGGCUCUUCUAUUUUGAGUCGAAGGAUAAAACUUCUCAUGAGGAUCUCAAAAAUUUAAGCAGCAGCCGCCUGCGCUUAAUAGUAGGUGGAGAAGACAGUCCACAAUAUGAAAAACUAGCCAAAGAUGAACAUGUACACACGGUGUUCAAUGUCAAUCAGCAAUACCUUAAACUCCAAUCCCGUUUGCUUUUGAACAUGAAACAAUUGGCAGUUCUUCAACUAGGACGAUGGCAGCACUCGCCAAAUUAUCAUAUUGAAGUUGAUGAUCAGAAAUUCUUGGAUGAUCUUGGGGUUCAUCACAAGCAUUUGAAGUUCCUAAGCCUUCGAGGAAUUUCUAGGAUCACAGCUCUUCCUGAUUCUAUUGUAGAACUAGUCAGCCUGGAGAUUCUUGACCUCCGAGCAUGCCACAAUUUGGAGAAGUUGCCUGAGGAUAUAGCAUCUUUGAAGAAGCUAACGCAUCUGGAUGUAUCGGAGUGUUACCUUAUAGAGCGCAUGCCGAAAGGAACGGAGAAACUGUCCUCCCUCCAGGUCUUAAAGGGGUUUGUUUUAGGGACUGCGAGGAAAAAUCCUUGCAGGAUCAGCGAUUUGGGAAAAUUGAAGGAAUUGAGAAGGCUAAGUAUAUACAUAGGCCGUGGAGCAGCCAUAGGGGAUGGAGAAUUUGCAUCGUUGAAGGGCAUUGCAUCCCUUUGCUCCCUAACCAUCUCUUGGGGAGUCACUUCUCUGGUGUCGCAAUCAAGUCUUCUGAUAAAUCAGUUUCUUCCAGAACAAUUGGAGAAACUAGAGCUCAUAGGAAUGCCAGAAAAAAGCACACCAAAGUGGUUGAACCCUCAAGAGUUGAAGAACCUGAAGAAGCUGUACAUCAUUGGAGGGGAACUGGCAAGCUGGGAUCACCAGCAACAGAAUGAGCAAUGGUCAGUUGAGAUAUUGCGGCUGAAACACCUCAAGAAUUUGAGCAUCGGAAACAAGGAAGAUGUGCUGAAAAGGUUUCCUCGGUUAGGAUACUUCGAGAAAAAAAAUUGUGCUGACAAUGAUAUCUCGUGGUACUAGAGUAGGGCAGUUUAGAAACUAUUGUGAACAGUUAUCAAGAAGCCCAGGGGAGAGAGAACCAGAGUUCGUGCAGAAACUGUUCUUAUUUGACGAGGGAUGUAGUUAGAGUAACCAUGUACCAAUACUGUAACAUGACAAAUGAAUAGUCCUUUGCUAUUGAAGCUUUAUCUUACUUCAUUGCUGGUCUAAUUUUCUUUUGUAAUGACUUGCCGUGGUUAUACGAUUGCUGCUCAUAAAGAUUGUUUCUCCGCCUAUUUGAUUAGAGUACUAGUUACAGGUAUUAGCAGAGUUUCUUUUAAUAGCUGAAUCAUUUAUAUUGGUUAUGUUGUAGCUGAGUAGAACGAGCCUUUGUGGGGGCAAGAAUGUAAUACAAUUUCAAUCUGAUGAUUUGGCAUGGAAGAGUAAAAUAAAGUCACAUCCCCUGUUGGAGAACUCAUGUAUAUUCAAUUCACAAAAACUCAGCAUAAAAGGGUGUUACAUAUGCAGAAAAGUUCACGAGUAGAAGAAUUUGUAAAUGCAUAAAUGGUGAUGAUAUCCUACAUAAAUGCAUCGGCUAAUUAUAUAGGUGGAAGUACAGAGACGUUGGCAUUUCAAGGAGGAGGAAAUGAUGGGGAGAGAGGGAGAGAGGGAGAGAAAGAGCAGCCAACAUCUUGGGACAGCUUUCUAGUUUCUAUCAAUCCCUGCGGAAGCCUGAGCAGGUAACAGUGAGCCAAAGCCAUGGCCUUUGAUGUAACCUGAAACCUCUCUCAUCCAAGUGAUACUUUUCAAUGUAGUUCCUAGACAUCUUCGAACAUUGUUCUGUCUCCAGUGGCUUAAGAUGAUACACGUAAAUGUAAUGACGGGAAGGUGAGUUCGUCCAUGAAGAGGAAAAAGGAAUUGCGGGGAGGAGAGGGAAAUUUUUGCGUGUAGCCAUUUAGGACGUCCCGACAAGUUAAAACUUCAAAUUACAGCACCCAGAGCUGUAAAGGAGUCGGAAGCAACAGAGCUUCUGGAAGCUAUGAACCGUUUACCAACCGGCCAACCGGCCAAACUUACCUGCUUGGGGUUAAGAAGCCCAAGGGACGAAAACUACCUUUAUUCAUUGCUUCUCCCUUGUAAUUAUGGAAAUUCUUGAACAAAUGCCGUUGUAAUCUUUGUAUUUACCUGAUAUUAUUGUUCUUUCAUUUGAGACGGUUUUGAACGUCAUAUUAUCAAGUCGUAGUUGGGCAAAUCCAUGAUUAAUAACUUGAAGCCAAGUGUAGGAAGUCAAACAUUUUAUAUUUGCCUUUAUUUGCGGUAAAAUAAAAAGGGAAGCCGAUGCCUUCCGCAUGAGACUAAUCAAGAUCUGUAAUUUGGCUUUUCUGGCUUUUUUGGAUUUUCUCCCAUUAAUUUGUUUUGUGAAAAGUGAAUAAUUUAAAAAAUUGUUUGCAUUGCUUGAAAUAUAUUAGUUAAUGAUAUUUUUUAAUUAUUGACAUAAAUUUAUGUUUAAAUAUUUUUAUGGAUAAUGAAAAUAUUUUUCAUAUAUUCAAUUUUUAUGAACGAUAUAAGCGAUCAUUUUUAAAAAAAUAUUUUUCAAAUUAUUUAUUUUUUGCACAACAAUCGCAACCUUAGUUCUCUUUGAAUUUCUUCAGAAAUUAUCUCUUAAUUUGUAAGUAUGUCUCUUCACGGGGUAAAGAGAAUGUUGUAAUAUAAUAUGUUGAAAUGAUAGGGUCAUGUAGAUAAGUUAAUGGGAGUAUUUUUUUUUGUUUUUGAUGGCCCUGGAACUCCCGUACAGCUGGCAACCGGCGAAAUAAACCAGGGGCGGCUGCUAGCCCAGGACCCACGUACUUGCAUUCUUGAGAAAAUUUAAUAGCAAAUAAUUAAUUAUAAUUGAAAAUUUAGCAUUACAAUCACUUACGCGUUUAGAUAUUCUUUAUACCUAAAUUUAAGGCUAAAUUUAAAGUAUUUAUAAAUAAAUAACUCAAUAGAAUGUAAAACUCGCAGCACAAAUAAUCGGUUUUCAAGUCCCAAGCAAAGGGCUAUAUGUACGCCAAAAAUCAAGAACUCCUCUACUGAUCGUCUUUCUUUGCGUAUAGCGGCUCCUUCAACGCUUCUCGGCUUUGUGCGGCUCUCCUCUUAAGGACUACUUGGCUACUUAAAGUAGAAAAAAAGAAAUCUUUUCUAUUUUUGUUGGACAAAGACUUAGGCCCUGUUUGUUAAUGUUCUUUAUUUCUGUUUAUGAACAAAAUUUAUAUUUUUUUUUUCCAGGGAACAAAAAAAGAACAGAAACGUGUUUGUUUGCGUUUUUGUUUCAAAUCUAUUUUUUUUGUUCUCAGGAACAUAUUUGGAACAGAAACAAGAAACAAGAAAAACGUGUUUGUUGUUUAUGGAAUAAUUUUUAAGAAUAAAUUUUCUCUCUCCUCUAUUUUUUUUUUCUUUUUUUUUUCUUAUUUUCUUUUUCUUUGGCUGAUCGUCGGCCUCGGCCGUGGCCGGUGACCAACCGUCGAGGGCCGGCGACCUUGCCGGAGCAUCGCCGGCCCCUAACGAGGCUCGCCGGCCUGGCGGUGGCUCGGCGAGGCUGAGCCUUGCUCGCCCAGAUCCGGCGAGCCUCGCCCUGGCUGGGCGAGGCCGCCGGCCAAAAGAAGAAAAAAAGAAAAAAGAAAAAAAAGAAAGAAAAAUAAAAUAAAAAUAUUAAAAAAUUAAAAGAAACAAAAAAAAAGAACACAAAUUUAUCAAACGUGUUUCUGUUCAUUUUUUAUUUCUGGAACAAGUUUAUCAAACGCGUUUUUUUAUUCAAAAAUUAUUCCCCAGAACAAAAUUACUUUUUUUAUUUUAUUUCUAUUUCCUGAUGCAAUUUUUAAACAUAAAUAGAUAUAACGGAAAAAGUGCGCCCCUUAUUUUGUCUUUUAGCGGCAGGGCUCUUCGCGAUCAAAUUUUGGAAAACACGGUCUUCCAUCGACGAGCCAUUGCCUCAGAUUUAAAGCUCGUCCUGGAGAUGAAGAUCAACGAGUUCCUCCAGAUCUCCACCAUCUUAUCUCAUAUUCACCCUUCUCUCUCGAUCCAAACUCAACCCAACAUCGAUCCACUCUCUCGCUCACUCAAAGUUUAUAUUUUUGUCCCCAGUCCGAUGCGUAAAUGAAGGCUCCGACCACAUGUCGGUGACCCGAGCGAGACCCAGAUGGGAAAACACGCUUUCUGCUCCGACCUGUUAUUGCUUGCUUCAUUCUGAACAGAGAAAGAAAAACAGAUGAUGUUUCAUACUGUGGACGGAACAGUGCUUUAUGUAUCGAAGGCCGUGAGCGACGGCUCGUUCGGUUGGCUCGGACGCAGCCGGUGACUCCACCGGGUACUGAACGAGGUAGAUGGCGGUAGACGGAUGAGGAAAAUGAGGGAGGAAACACAGGAGUUAAUUUUUUAUUUUUGUUUAUUUACUUGCCACGGCACGGACACGUGUCAACUUUUAAUUGACUUUAAGAAUAAAAAUAUAUGCUAUGUCAUCCUAUCACAUUCUGAUUUCUCCAUCUACUACUUACGGUGCCAGUUUAUUAGGGCGCGCAUGACAAAAUUUCUAUUUCUCGAUUUCUUUGUUUCUCUGUUUCUCUGUUUCCGGAACAGGUGUGGAACAGAAAUCCAUUUAGUAACACAAUUUGAUUUCUCUAUUUCUGAAACAGAUUUCUUUACAGAAAUAGAGAAAUUAAAGAAAUCAGAAACUGGAAUUUUUAACUUCUCAGUUUCUGAAAUAUAAAUCAGAAACUAAAAUCAAACCAUAUAAAAGAUCCUUGCGCUUUCUUGCUAACUUAAUUCACUCAUAACCACAACUUCACAAAUUAUUGCUAAUUUUCUUUUAUUAUUUUGCUCAUGCUUUUGUUUGCAUUUUUUUUUAACUUUUUUUUAAUAACUUCCUCUUUAGGAUGAAAGUCCUCAAUUUUCAAAAACGACCAAAGUUCUUAAGUGCUUACUUAAAAACAAUGGGGCUCUUUCUUCCUAGAAAAGGCACACACAUGGCCAGUUGAAGAAAAAGUUCUUACGUAAUAGAUGAAUAAAAAACGUGCCUAGAAAUUUAACCUUAUUUUUUUACGGAUUCAAAAUUCUUGCAAAAUCAAAAUAAUUAGAUUGUUACACAAUCUUGAAUUUUAAUUCGAAGGCAAGAGAUUCAAGAGAAUCUCUCUCUUUGCUAUGGAAUGGCCAUUAAAGGUUCAUUGAGCAACAAUAAAGAAAUUAGGGAUGAGCAACUAGACUGAUUCAAUUUGAGAAUAAAAAUAAACCGACCUUCCCCCGAUUGGUUCCUAACCAUAAACGUUAUUUUAAGGUAGAAUUAUCAUAUAUUACUUUACACCAUUAAUUUUAUUUUGUUGAUAAUCUUGUAUAAUACUAGUUUUUGAUAAAAUGACAAGGAUGUAUAGGCGCCAUUGAUGGCACUCAUAUUCAUGCUUCCGUAGUACUUGUCUGAACCUACACAGGAUGAGCUUGCAAAUGAUACAUUGACCACGCAGGAUGAGCUUGCAAAUGAUACAUUGACCGAGAAGGGAAACCAAAUAAAUACGCUUAGGAAAACAAUUGUUAAUAAAAUGGCAAUGGAUAAUAAUAUGCCGGAAAUUUCAUGAAAUUCCAUGAAAUUGUAUUUUCAACUUUUAUAAUGUAUUAGUAUUAUUUCGACUAUUAUUUUGUAUUUGAGGAUUUCCUAUGUUGUUAUCUAAUCAAUUUCUAUUCUUAAAAAUAGAAAUUUUGUUCUGUUAUCAAACGGAUUUUUGUUUUAAAAAUAGAAAUUUUGAGUCAUUAUCAAAUGGGUUUCUUUGCUCGGAAACUUGUCCGGGAACUAGAAAUUAAGAAAUUGAUUUAUUGCCAGAAAUGAAUUUCUGUUUCAGAAAUUUUGUCAUGCGCAGCCUUAAUAUUCAAAUAUGGGUCACCGAAUUUGUAAGAAUUGCUUUCUUGACUUAGUCAAAGAAUGGGUCCAGAAACCAAAAAGAGGGGCAAAAGAAAAUGAAAAGAUAAGUGGAUGUUCAGCUAUUAAAGGGAAAAAGCACAUGCACGGGAAGGAAAGAGAAAAGAGAGUGGAACGAAAGGAAACAGAGAAAGAAGAAGAGGAAGAAGGAAGAAAGGGAUUCCAUGUACACGAUCUGGAUAUUCCAACAAGCCAACUCAACUCCGAAUUGCGACGCCGGUAAGGAUUCAAGCCUUUCGUACUUGUAAUCGGAAAAGUUUUUGGAAUUAAGACUUAAAGUCGGAAUCAAAUGAAAUUUGAGUUGCGAACUCCGAUUAUGGAGUUGUUAAACUGAAAAAUUAUGGGGUUUUGAUAGUUUAAGGUGAUGUGGAGUUAUAGCAUUUUACGGAAUUCGAUUUGAGCUUAUGAUUUGUCCAAAAAGAGUUUUGGACGUUUCCACGCACGAUGAACAGUAGACUUUCAGCAACUUUUGAGCCAAAAUUUGUUGAUUUUCGGCUAAAUUUUAGGUUGGCCAAGUUAUGAGUGUUCUAGUGUUUGGAAAAAUCUUUCUUUUGACUGUAAGCUCAUUUGGAACGGAUUUAGGUGAGAGAGUUAUGGCACGAUCAAGUUAUGCACUCAAGUCCCAUGUUGCGAACGGCUCUAAAUAAUCGCUUUGAACGAGUGAUUUGUGAGCACCUGUGAGUCGUUUUAUUAGCAUUUAAGCUUAAUUUAGUUAAAUCGUAAUUGAUGUAGUGUUUUACUUUAUUUUAAUGUUGGGUCUCACUUAUUUAAUAGGAUGACGAGUUCAAAUGGUUCAGGUAUUCUCCGAUGAUUUGUCAUAGGCAUUCCAGGUGAGUGCUAUCUCAAAAUAUUAUAUAUAUAUUGAUUUGUGAAUAUUGAUUUAUGAAGAAUUCUAAAAUGAUGCAAAAAAUAUAUUGUGAGUUGUGUUCAGUUUGAUGAACGAAAUUUAGAAAGAUUAUGCUUUUUGUUUUGUGAAAUCAAUUGCACAUUGAUUUUGGAUUUGAUUAUUGAUAUUGGAAAAUGUGAGUUUGAUGCUCAAUAUUUUUGUAGGUAUGCAUAUUGAUUUAGGAUAUCCUUUUUAACCGAGUCACCGGCUUUGUAAGUGAAGAUCUUGCCAUUGAUCUGUCACUAGGCAUUAUAUUAUAACCAUGGUAUGAUAUUAAGCAAAAGAUUGGUUGCUGAAUGGAACAUUGGAGUGUGUUUUGAUAUAAGAUGGAUCAAUGAAUUAGACUAUUGAUGUGUGAUUUUGAUGAGAUUGAUCAAUGGAUUUGAUCAUUCAUAUUUAUGAUGAUUUAGGUGAGUAUUUUCCGAAUUGUGUAAAGCUUGUUGAAAUGAAACAAGUCAUACAUGAUUUUGUUAUGUAUAUUAUAGAGUUAGAUCAUGAAUUUUCUGGUAGUGCUUGACUAUGCAUAAAAGAGAUUAAUUACUCACUGAGUUGUGGGUGCUCGCUCACUUAUCUCUUUCUCGUUCUUUUCAGAUUUACUAUGGGAACUUUUGGGAGUUAAAUUUGGUGGUUUGAGGCUACGUGUCCUUCGGUGGUGUCAUCCCUUUUAUGCUAAGAUUCACGGUGUGACAAUAUCUUGAAUCCUAUUCCUAGAUAGAUCAUUUCACCGUAAUAAUGGAAAAGUCUCUGUAUGAAUCCAUGUCUGGUGACACUAAAGAUAGGACUAAAGUGCAAUCCUGGGAAGAGAUCGUGCAGGCCAUGCGCAACGACAUGAAUACCGACCCGUCUGAAGACCAGCUCGUCACGUUAGAGGGCCUUGUGCAAGGUUACAGGAAGGUGAAAUCAUUUUCGAAACAUCGAAAGAAUCAAAGGGAAGUUCCACUUCCAAUACUAUCUGAAGGUUGGCGUGAACGGGCCGAAGAAAGCAAGAACCUUCCUAUGCUUAGUCAACCCAAUGAAUGGAGUUCUCCGUUGAAGCGCUGCCUUCCUUCUUUUGCGAUUUUCCCUGAAAAUUCAAUUAUAAAGAAAAGAAGUUUAAUAUAUUGGUGGAUAGGACAGGACUUAGUUUCCCAAAGAGGAGAGAAGACGGCAGAGCAAGUAGGUGAAGAAGUCUACAAUGAGCUCCUACAAGGAGGCCUAAUUGAACCCGACGAUAACGAUCCAAGCCCUCUCAUGAAUAGAUGCAAAAUGCAUCCAUUAAUCCGUUACUGGCUUAUCUCGAAGGCAGAAGAAGAAGGGUUCUUCUAUUUCACGAAGGAUAAAACUUCUUCUGAGGAUCCCGGAAAUUUAAGCAGCGGCCGCCUGCGCUUAAUAGUAGGUGGCUUAAUAGUAGGUGGAGAAGACGGUCCAAAACAUAUAGAUAUGGCUAACGAUGAAGAUGUACACACGGUGUUCAAUGUCAAUCAGCAAUACCUUAGCCUCCAACCCCGUUUGCUUUCGAACAUGAAAAAAUUGGCAGUUCUUCAACUAGGACGAUGGCAGCACUCGCCAAUGCAUCAUAUUGAAGUUGAUGAUCAGAAAUUCUUGGAUGAUCUUGGGGCUCAUCACAAGCAUUUGAAGUUCCUAAGCCUUCGAGGAAUUUCUAGGAUCACAGCUCUUCCUGAUUCUAUUGUUGAACUAGUCAGCCUGGAGAUUCUUGACCUCCGAGCGUGCCACAAUUUGGAGAAGUUGCCUGAGGAUAUAGCAUCUUUGAAGAAGCUAACGCAUCUGGAUGUAUCAGAGUGUUAC
RNAcentral lists this long non-coding RNA (8698 nucleotides) under Eucalyptus grandis. RNAcentral's name for it is "long non-coding RNA (EGRA_LNC005907)". The record is from RNAcentral. Lineage: Eukaryota; Viridiplantae; Streptophyta; Magnoliopsida; Myrtales; Myrtaceae.